GGAAAAGAAAUCAACCGAGAUUCCCCCAGUAGCGGCGAGCGAACGGGGAGCAGCCCAGAGCCUGAAUCAGUGUGUGUGUUAGUGGAAGCGUCUGGAAAGGCGCGCGAUACAGGGUGACAGCCCCGUACACAAAAAUGCACAUGCUGUGAGCUCGAUGAGUAGGGCGGGACACGUGGUAUCCUGUCUGAAUAUGGGGGGACCAUCCUCCAAGGCUAAAUACUCCUGACUGACCGAUAGUGAACCAGUACCGUGAGGGAAAGGCGAAAAGAACCCCGGCGAGGGGAGUGAAAAAGAACCUGAAACCGUGUACGUACAAGCAGUGGGAGCACAGAGCAAUCUGUGUGACUGCGUACCUUUUGUAUAAUGGGUCAGCGACUUAUAUUCUGUAGCAAGGUUAACCGAAUAGGGGAGCCGAAGGGAAACCGAGUCUUAACUGGGCGUUAAGUUGCAGGGUAUAGACCCGAAACCCGGUGAUCUAGCCAUGGGCAGGUUGAAGGUUGGGUAACACUAACUGGAGGACCGAACCGACUAAUGUUGAAAAAUUAGCGGAUGACUUGUGGCUGGGGGUGAAAGGCCAAUCAAACCGGGAGAUAGCUGGUUCUCCCCGAAAGCUAUUUAGGUAGCGCCUCGUGAAUUCAUCUCCGGGGGUAGAGCACUGUUUCGGCAAGGGGGUCAUCCCGACUUACCAACCCGAUGCAAACUGCGAAUACCGGAGAAUGUUAUCACGGGAGACACACGGCGGGUGCUAACGUCCGUCGUGAAGAGGGAAACAACCCAGACCGCCAGCUAAGGUCCCAAAGUCAUGGUUAAGUGGGAAACGAUGUGGGAAGGCCCAGACAGCCAGGAUGUUGGCUUAGAAGCAGCCAUCAUUUAAAGAAAGCGUAAUAGCUCACUGGUCGAGUCGGCCUGCGCGGAAGAUGUAACGGGGCUAAACCAUGCACCGAAGCUGCGGCAGCGACGCUUAUGCGUUGUUGGGUA
Molecule: ribosomal RNA, 978 nt
Filed under: Escherichia coli
Lineage: Bacteria; Pseudomonadati; Pseudomonadota; Gammaproteobacteria; Enterobacterales; Enterobacteriaceae
Description: partial 23S ribosomal RNA
Rfam family: Bacterial large subunit ribosomal RNA
Source: RNAcentral